GAUGAACGCUGGCGGCAUGCCUAAUACAUGCAAGUCGAGCGAACAGACGAGGAGCUUGCUCCUCUGACGUUAGCGGCGGACGGGUGAGUAACACGUGGAUAACCUACCUAUAAGACUGGGAUAACUUCGGGAAACUGGAGCUAAUACCGGAUAAUAUAUUGAACCGCAUGGUUCAAUAGUGAAAGACGGUUUUGCUGUCACUUAUAGAUGGAUCCGCGCCGCAUUAGCUAGUUGGUAAGGUAACGGCUUACCAAGGCAACGAUGCGUAGCCGACCUGAGAGGGUGAUCGGCCACACUGGAACUGAGACACGGUCCAGACUCCUACGGGAGGCAGCAGUAGGGAAUCUUCCGCAAUGGGCGAAAGCCUGACGGAGCAACGCCGCGUGAGUGAUGAAGGUCUUCGGAUCGUAAAACUCUGUUAUUAGGGAAGAACAAAUGUGUAAGUAACUAUGCACGUCUUGACGGUACCUAAUCAGAAAGCCACGGCUAACUACGUG
Molecule: ribosomal RNA, 497 nt
Filed under: uncultured bacterium
Lineage: Bacteria
Description: partial 16S ribosomal RNA
Rfam family: Bacterial small subunit ribosomal RNA
Source: RNAcentral